Molecule: unclassified non-coding RNA, 345 nt
Filed under: soil metagenome
Description: partial contains 5.8S ribosomal RNA, internal transcribed spacer 2, and large subunit ribosomal RNA
Rfam family: 5.8S ribosomal RNA (bases 1-120)
Source: RNAcentral
GAUGAAGAACGUAGCGAAAUGCGAUACGUAAUGUGAAUUGCAGAAUUCAGUGAAUCAUCGAGUCUUUGAACGCACAUUGCGCCCCCUGGUAUUCCGGGGGGCAUGCCUGUCCGAGCGUCAUUGCUGCCCUCAAGCACGGCUUGUGUGUUGGGCCUCCGUCCUCCUCCCGGGGGACGGGCCCGAAAGGCAGCGGCGGCACCGCGUCCGGUCCUCGAGCGUAUGGGGCUUCGUCACCCGCUCUUGUAGGCCCGGCCGGCGCUUGCCGACACAUCAUUCUUUUUUCCAGGUUGACCUCGGAUCAGGUAGGGAUACCCGCUGAACUUAAGCAUAUCAAUAAGCGGAGGA